RNAcentral lists this ribosomal RNA (322 nucleotides) under uncultured eukaryote. RNAcentral describes it as "partial 18S ribosomal RNA". It matches the Rfam family "Eukaryotic small subunit ribosomal RNA", at positions 1470 to 1796 of the family's 1831-position model. The record is from RNAcentral.
CUCUUAGAUGUUCUGGGCCGCACGCGUGCUACACUGAGUGGAUCAGCGGGUCAGGUUGCGCGAAAGCGUUUCCUAAUCUUUAAAUCCGCUCGUGAUGGGGAUUGACGGUUGCAAUUUUCUGUCAUGAACGAGGAAUACCUUGUAAGCGCGGGUCAUCAUCCCGCGCUGAAUACGUCCCUGCCCUUUGUACACACCGCCCGUCGCUCCUACCGAUUGAGUGGUCCGGUGAGGCUUUGGGAUCUGAGCGGAAAGAGCGUUUCGCUGUUUCUGCCCGGAAAACUCAGUCGAACCUUAUCAUUUAGAGGAAGGAGAAGUCGUAACA